AUGACAAAAUGUUAAACAAGUCAAAAGCGAAACCAACAUCCUGAUUUAUCUACAAAACAAUACCAGUAAACAGAAAACAAAUAUGAUAGACAGUAACCAACAACAACCACUGAAUUAAAGGCUCCUGACUUGGGACAGGCACAUACAGACAGCAACCUACGACAACCACUGAAUUACAGGCUCCUGACUUGGGUCAGGCACAUACAGACAGCAACCAACGACAACCACUGAAUUACAGGCUCCUGACUUGGGACAGGCACAUACAGACAGCAACCAACGACAACCACUGAAUUACAGGCUCCUGACUUGGGACAGGCACAUACAGACAGCAACCAACGACAACCACUGAAUUACAGGCUCCUGACUUGGGACAGGCACAUACAGACAGCAACCAACGACAACCACUGAAUUACAGGCUCCUGACUUGGGACAGGCACAUACAGACAGCAACCAACGACAACCACUGAAUUACAGGCUCCUGACUUGGGACAGGCACAUACAGACAGCAACCAACGACAACCACUGAAUUACAGGCUCCUGACUUGGGACAGGCACAUACAGACAGCAACCAACGACAACCACUGAAUUACAGGCUCCUGACUUGGGACAGGCACAUACAGACAGCAACCAACGACAACCACUGAAUUACAGGCUCCUGACUUGGGUCAGGCACAUACAGACAGCAACCAACGACAACCACUGAAUUACAGGCUCCUGACUUGGGACAGGCACAUACAGACAGCAACCAACGACAACCACUGAAUUACAGGCUCCUGACUUGGGACAGGCACAUACAGACAGCAACCAACGACAACCACUGAAUUACAGGCUCCUGACUUGGGACAGGCACAUACAGACAGCAACCAACGACAACCACUGAAUUACAGGCUCCUGACUUGGGACAGGCACAUACAGACAGCAACCAACGACAACCACUGAAUUACAGGCUCCUGACUUGGGUCAGGCACAUACAGACAGCAACCA
This is a long non-coding RNA of Mytilus californianus (California mussel), 984 nucleotides long. RefSeq lists it as uncharacterized. Lineage: Eukaryota; Metazoa; Mollusca; Bivalvia; Mytilida; Mytilidae. The transcript is spliced from 4 exons. The record is from RefSeq and is a predicted model, not a curated record.